UACGUAGGGGGCUAGCGUUAUCCGGAAUUACUGGGCGUAAAGGGUGCGUAGGUGGUUUCUUAAGUCAGAGGUGAAAGGCUACGGCUCAACCGUAGUAAGCCUUUGAAACUGGGAAACUUGAGUGCAGGAGAGGAGAGUGGAAUUCCUAGUGUAGCGGUGAAAUGCGUAGAUAUUAGGAAGAACACCAGUGGCGAAGGCGGAUUACUGGACGAUAACUGACGGUGAGGCGCGAAAGCGUGGGGAGCAAACAGG
This 252-nucleotide ribosomal RNA is filed under the name uncultured bacterium. Its description in RNAcentral is "partial 16S ribosomal RNA". It matches the Rfam family "Bacterial small subunit ribosomal RNA", at positions 524 to 776 of the family's 1533-position model. The record is from RNAcentral.